AGAGUUUGAUCCUGGCUCAGAACGAACGCUGGCGGCGUGUUUAAGACAUGCAAGUCGCACGGAGAGAUUCGGUAUUUAUAUUGGAGAUCUCAGUGGCGCACGGGUGAGUAACACGUGAAUUACAUGCCCUUCAGAGGGGGAUAGCCCAGGGAAACUUGGAUUAAUACCCCAUAGUAUCGAAAGAUUAAAGGUGGCUUCGGCUGCCGCUGAAGGAUUGGUUCGCGCCCUAUCAGCUUGUUGGUGAGGUAAUAGCUCACCAAGGCAACGACGGGUACCUGGUUUGAGAGGACGAUCAGGCACACUGGAACUGAGACACGGUCCAGACACCUACGGGUGGCAGCAGUCGAGAAUAAUUCACAAUGGGGGCAACCCUGAUGGUGCAACGCCGCGUGGAGGAUGACGGUCUUCGGAUUGUAAACUCCUGUCAUCUGAGAGUAAGACCUAGACGUUAAUAGCGUAUAGGGUUGAUAGUAUCAGAAGAGGAAGGGACGGCUAACUUCGUGCCAGCAGCCGCGGUAAUACGAAGGUCCCAAGCGUUGUUCGGAAUCACUGGGCGUAAAGGGAGCGUAGGCUGCGCGGUAAGUCAGAUGUGAAAUCCCGGGGCUCAACCCCGGAACUGCAUCCGAUACUGCCGCGCUAGAGUAAUGGAGGGGUAACUGGAAUUUACGGUGUAGCAGUGAAAUGCGUGGAUAUCGUGAGGAACACUUGUGGCGAAAGCGAGUUGCUGGACAUUUACUGACGCUGAGGCUCGAAGGCUAGGGUAGCGAAAGGGAUUAGAUACCCCUGUAGUCCUAGCAGUAAACGGUGUGCGCUUGGUGUAGGAGGAUUCGACCCCUUCUGUGCCGGAGCUAACGCGUUAAGCGCACCGCCUGGGAAGUACGGUCGCAAGACUAAAACUCAAAGAAAUUGACGGGGACCCGCACAAGCGGUGGAGUAUGUGGCUUAAUUCGAUGCAACGCGAAGAACCUUACCAAGGCUUGACAUGCAUCUCUAAGCUCGUGAAAACGAGUGACCCUUCGGGGGAUUUGCACAGGUGCUGCAUGGCCGUCGUCAGCUCGUGUCGUGAGAUGUUGGGUUAAGUCCCGCAACGAGCGCAACCCUUGUGGUUAGUUGCCAGCACGUAAAGGUGGGAACUCUAGCCAGACUGCCCAGAUCAACUGGGAGGAAGGUGGGGACGACGUCAGGUCAGUAUGGCCCUUACGCCUUGGGCUGCACACGUACUACAAUGCCCAGUACAAUGAGAGCCGAAACCGCGAGGUGGAGGAAAUCUACAAAACUGGGCCCAGUUCGGAUUGGAGGCUGCAACUCGCCUCCAUGAAGUUGGAAUCGCUAGUAAUGGCACAUCAGCUACGGUGCCGUGAAUACGUUCCCGGGUCUUGUACACACCGCCCGUC
Molecule: ribosomal RNA, 1394 nt
Filed under: uncultured Verrucomicrobiota bacterium
Lineage: Bacteria; Pseudomonadati; Verrucomicrobiota
Description: bacterial SSU rRNA
Rfam family: Bacterial small subunit ribosomal RNA
Source: RNAcentral